This is a non-coding RNA of Trichonephila clavipes, 73 nucleotides long. The record is from the annotation of a GenBank genome assembly. Lineage: Eukaryota; Metazoa; Arthropoda; Arachnida; Araneae; Nephilidae.
GUCCCUGUAGGGCAUUGGAUAGCGUAUUGGACUUCGAAUCCAAAGGUCGUGGGUUCAAAUCCCACCUGGGCUA